CCCUUAGAUGUUCUGGGCUGCACGCGUGCUACAAUGGCGCUUGCAACAAGUCUUGCCAACCCGAUAGGGUGAGCGGAUCUUUGAAGAGGCGUCGUGAUCGGGACAGUUGAUUGCAAUUAUUCGACUCGAACGAGGAAUUCCUUGUAAUCGCGAUUCAUCAUAUCGCGCUGAAUACGUCCCUGCCCUUUGUACACACCGCCCGUCGCUCCUACCGAUUGAGCGAUCCGGUGAAUGUUUUGGACUGGCGUCAGAAGCGGUUCGCUCCUGACACUACGAAAUUUUGUAAACCUUAUCGCUUAGAGGGAGGAAAAGUCGUAACA
Molecule: ribosomal RNA, 320 nt
Filed under: uncultured eukaryote
Lineage: Eukaryota
Description: partial 18S ribosomal RNA
Rfam family: Eukaryotic small subunit ribosomal RNA
Source: RNAcentral